Long non-coding RNA from Loxodonta africana (African savanna elephant), 21895 nucleotides. RefSeq lists it as uncharacterized. The record is from RefSeq and is a predicted model, not a curated record. NCBI's taxonomy places the organism in Eukaryota, Metazoa, Chordata, Mammalia, Proboscidea, Elephantidae. The transcript is spliced from 6 exons.
CGCCCUCCCCCCGGCCGCUUUCCCGCCCUCUCCGCGGUCCUCCCCGCCUUUCGCAUCUCAGCGCGGACGCCCCACGCGGUGACAGCCCCAGGCCUGACGCCCGAACGCAUCUGCAGGCAGGCCCGCCCCUUGCAACAUCCGUCCCUCGACACGCCCCUACCAGGAACCGCAGUGCUCCCCCGGCUCUGGUCCUGCCCGCGCCCCUCUCCCGCGCCUCCCUGCCUUGCUUCUUCGCGCCUGUCGCCGAGCGGCUUCCGUGUCUCCAAACCGGGAAAUUUAAAAAGAGAAAAAGACAGAAAAGCCAGGUCACCUCAUUGCGCUACCCGCCAAUCAGGAGGCUGGAUGUCAGUUUGGCAAGAAAUGGCCGCUACGCCUCACUUCUAGAUUCGGAAUACGAGCGAAAUUAAAGACAACCGCUGCACGCAGCCCACGCGACCUGUGGACACUGCGCGGCGCUGGCGCCACUGGAGCUCCAGCCGCGCGGACCAGUUUCCCUUAGGUACCUUCUGACUCAUGGCAGUCCCAUGUGUGCAGAGUAAAGCUGCGCCACGGCAAUCUUUCAGAAGCAGAUCGCCAGGCCUGUUUGCUCUGGCGUUUCUGGGUUAUUUGAACCACCAACCUUUCUGCAAGUAGUUCAGGGCUUAACCGUUGGCGCCGUCCAGGGACUCGUAAGUAUCUGCCUGAAUGUUGGCAAAUGAACUUCACCGAUAGGAUUGACUUGCUCAGAAUUUACCGAGCACAGUACCCGUCACUGUUACUUGUCAUCUCCUCUGCCUGGAAAGAAUGGUUUUUCUCGCUCUUCACAAGGUUGGCUCCUUCUUUCUUAAGAAUCCCCGUUCAGAGAAACUUCCCCUCUCUGGCUCCAUAUCACCGUGUUUAUUUUCUCUGUAGUAUUUUUAGCAGUUCAGAAAUUACAACACUUAGCAGUACAGAAAUUAUUUUGCUUUUGUAUUUGUUUAUGUGUUGCCUGAUUGUCCUUCACGGUAGGGUGUAAGCUCCAUGGGAGCAGGAUUCUGCUCUGGCUUACUCUGCACCCAUGACGCCUUCCCCGACCUCAUAGGACGGAUGGUCCGGUAAAAACACACAAUUAUAAUUAGGACAUUUGGCUUUAUGGAUCACAGAGGAAGGACACUUUGGGGAAGUGGGCAGUCCAGAGAAAGCAUGCUAGAGGGCAAAUGCUGCUUGAUGCCAGGAUAAUAUCAUUUAAGGAAGAGUGACGAUUUGCCUGGACCCAGGCAAGGUGAUUAUCUGUGACCAGAAACCAUGGUGUGUGUGAGAGGGGGAGGCCUCUAUUACAGUCUCUUGAAAUUGUCUCAUCAUGCCUGCGGGGUCUGCUGACCCUCAGUUUCCCAGCCAAGUUUAAAUUCAGGGAUCUUUGUAUAUUGAUUAAACCUGUAUAGUUUAACCUAUAACCAUUUCAUUUCUACGCAAACUUGGGAGUAGGAAGACUUUACACUUCAGAGGAAUGCCAUUUGAAUGACAGCAUGCAUAUACAGCAAGCUUUCUGUUUUUUGGAUGUAAAUUUUAAAAUUUAAACCUUUAAAUUCCAUCUUGGUUUUCCCCUGCUGCCCAACACCUGUUCUCUGUCAGCUGUGGUAUGCAGGGGAAUUCUAUCUAAUUUUAAUAUUAGCGGAAGCAAAAUACAAUUAGGAAGAUGAAUCUCUAGCAAAAAACUAGUAUGUGCUGUUCCAAAGAAAAAGAUGUUUGGCUGUAUGUUCUUCAAAAAAUUUGUGAUCAAAAAUUGAGUGGAACUAUGUGUACACGCUUUCACUUGUAUUACUUAUUGUAUCCUCACAGUGGCCCUUUAAAUUUGAGAUUCUUACCCCUAUUUUACAGGUAAGAAAAUUGAGGCCCAUCACCACCAGCUGCCAUCAGUUCUGACUCACAGCGACCCCAUGUGUGUCAGAGUAGAACUGUGCUCCACAGAGUUUUUGAUGGCUGAUAUUUUGGAAUUAAGUUGCCAGACCUUUCUUCUGAGGAGUCUUGGGUAGACUUGAACUUCCAACAUUUUGGUUAUCAGCUGAGCUUAUUAACAGUUUAAACCACAGAGAAACUCUAGAUGAGGCCUAAACCAAAACCUGUUGCCAUUGAGUUGAUCCUGACUCAUAGCGACCCUAUAGGACAGAGUAGAACUGCCCCAUAGAGUUUCCAGGGAGUGGCUGGUGGAUUUGAACUGCCAGCCUUUUGGUUAGCAGCUGAACACUUAAUCAAUGUGCCACCAGGGCUCCAGUUGAGGCCUACAGGGCUCCAAAUUUUGAUUACUUCAUGGCAGCAAGUGCCAGGGCUGGAAUCAUCAAGAAGGUCUUUGGACUAUAAGUCCUGUGCUCUUUCUGUUGUAUCCCAAAGGGCAGAGUCAAUAGGGAGUGUGCUAGCUGCGGUCACUUGUGCAUCGACAUGAUCACCAAAUGCUGGAGCUUCUCUUUGCCCUCUUCCAUUGGCCUAAAUAACUGACAGUUAAUUCUCUGAGUUUUUGAAUGGAGGAAAAUUAUUUUCUGAUUUGGAUUAGCAAAUUCAUCCUCCAGGACGAGAUAGAACAUCUUACUGAAUAGCUUUCAUCUUGUGCUUCCCUCCCUAACCACCACCACAUGGUGACCCAGGACACUAGCUUUAUCCCUCAGAUAACUCUUGAUUAUCAAAAUUCCAUCAGAAGCUUUCCUAACAUUGCAUAUGUCACACUCAAAACCCCAAAGGCAUAAAACAAGAGCCACCAUAAACAAGAUUAAAACCAAAAUAAUUAUUCAUACAUAUAUGACAAUAUAUUAAUUUCUAAAAUAUGUAAGUAACCAGGUAACUCAAUAAAAAGAUAGAGAAUGUAAAGAAUGUAACAGGCAGUUUAUAGUGGAGAGUAUACAAAUGAACAGAUUGUCAAAACUUACAUGAAAAGCACAAUCUCACUGCUUAGUGAAGAGACAUAAACAGGAACAAUGGCAUAUACCUAUAAGUGUUGCAAAAAUAAAAAGAAGUGAUAAUAGUGGCAGAGUUGUCAGGAAACACCCUUAUACACUAUACACUAUUGUACUUGGUGCAGUUGUUUGGGAAGACAGCUUUACAGUAUCUAUCAAAACUAUAUGUGAUAUAUGUACCCUUUGACACAGCAAUUCCACUGUUUUAACUCAUGUAAGUAUGUAAAGAUAUACACACAAAUAUAUGAAUAUAUGUAUGGAAAUACAUAUACUAUAGAUUUCUUUCCAUAAAUACAGUAUACAUAUGUUUGGAAAGAAAUAUAUAUGUAUGGAAAGAUAGAGAUAUAAACAUAUAGAUACAUAUAGACUUGACAGCACCUAACAGCAACAACAACCCUUUGACUCAGUAAUUCCACUCUUGUAACUCACAUAAGUUUGGGAAGUAUAUAUAAGUAUAUACACGCAAACACAUUAGUAUUGAAAGAUAUAUACACAUACACAUAAGUGUGGAAAGAUCAUAUAUAUACACACACACACAGAGAAGAUAGAAAUGUACUCUGGCUCAGCAACUCCUUCUAUAAAUUGCUACAGAUGACUCAUUGAAGUAUGCAAAAAAGAUUCUUUAUAGCAUUGUGACUAGUGACAAAAAAAAAGCACACAAAGAAAGGAAACAAUUUACUUGUUUGUCAAUAGGAUACUGAUUUAAAAACUUAGGGUCCAUCCAUAAAGUACAAAGCUGUGCAGCCAUAAAACAAUGAAGUCCAUAAAACAAUGAAGUGCACCUAUAUGCACUGAUAAAGGAAAUUGUCAAGGAUCUAUUACUAAUUGAAGAAAGCAAGUUGCAAGAUAGUAUGAUACCAUUUGUGCUUUUCAAAUGUAUGUGUUGGGGAGGGUUGUUUACAAUUAUUUGUACCUAUAUAUUUCUGGAAGGAUAAUUUAAAACAUUUUAAUAGUUUUUCCCCCUGGGUAGUGAGAAUGGGGGAAUGGGGAGAUUUUGGGAAGCUUUUACUUAGUACUUUUUGCCUUCUGUAUUGCCUGAAAGUUUACUCUGAGCAAAAAUUAUUAAAGUAACAAUCAUAGAAAUUCAGAACCCCAAAUCUAGAGAUUCUAAUUCUGUAGAUCUGGAGUUAGUCAGUAAAUCUGAAUUUUAAAACAUCUCCUUGGGUAAUUCUGAUACGGAGCCGAGGUUGGCAACCAGUCCCUGUAUGUUAGCCUCAAGUGACUGCCGAGGCCAACACCAUCGUUUGGAUACAACAAUUACUUGGGGGCAAAUGUAAAAUGAAAUGUCAUUUAAUUUUUACUUAAAAAGAGGAUGACAUUAAACUCUUCUGUUUAUGAUGGGAUUUAUGACAGCACUGUGACAUCCUGGAGUAGGCCCAUUUGUGAUAACUCUUAAGUAUCAAAGGCAACCCAGAGAUUAGAGAGUAGUAGAGGAUGAAAAACUAUUUCAGGCAAGAUAUUUUAUCUUUCUAGGUAGCAUGUUAGCUAGGGACACAGGGGAUGGAGACAGGCACUGCUGUGUCCUAGGAAAAGUGGUAGAGCAUAGGGACUCACAGGUGGAGGGAGGAGCUAUUCAGCACACAUCUUUCCAACACUCACCCUUCAGAAGAAAACUGCAUGUGUUGAUAAUAAUCUGCUGACUUGUCUGAUUAAGUAAAUGGAAUAAAUUGUUUACUGUUUUAUUUCAUACCAUAUAAUAUACCAUAUCAUAUAAUAAGCAUAUUAUUAUAUGGUAUUAUACCAUAUAAAAAAAUUUUUUUUAUACCAUACCAUAUAAUAAACGUGUUAUAAAAUAUGUAACAACAUAGUGAAAAAAUUUUUCGACAGAUCCAGGAUUUAUUUUUUAUAAUUUAUUUCUUGUUGAGAAUAUACACAGCAAAACAUACACCAAUUCAACAGUUUCUACAUGUACAAUUCGGUGACACUGAUUACAUUCUUUAAGUUGUGCAACUAUUUUCACCCUCCUUUUCUGAGUUGUUCCUUCCCCAUUAACAUAAACUCACUGCUCCCUAAAGUUCCUACCUAAUCUUUCAAGUUGCUUUUGUCAGUGUGAUUCCCUCUAGAUAGAUCUUAAAAGAGCAUAAUGCUCAAGACAGAUAUUCUUUACUAGUUAAGCUAAACUAUUAUUUGGUUUUAAGAAGACUUCAGGGAAUAUUUUUGGUUUAAGGUUUAAAGAUUAUCUCAGGGCAGUAGUUUCAGGGGUUUAUUCAGCCACCAUGGCUCCAGAAAAAUCUGGAUUCCAUGAGAAUUUGAAAUUCUUUCCUGUAUUUUCUCCCUAUAGACAGGAUUAUUCUAUAGAAUCUUUGAUCAAAAUGUUCAGUAGUGGUAGCCGGGCACCAUCCAGUUCUGGUCUCAUGGCAGAGGAGGCAGUUGUUAUUGGAGGCAGUUAGCCACACAUCCAUUUCCUGCUCUUAUUCCUGACUCUCCUUCUUCCUCUGUUACUCCAGGCAUUACUGUAUUUUGGAUGGCUGCUUACAAGCAGGUGGAACAGAAGCACUAGGCCAAUUAACUGCAAACCAAGGAACCAAAUCACAUAAGGUGUUUGGUUGUACAUGAGCAGCCUUAGCUGCUACUCUUUUUUUUUUUGUUGUUGUUAUUGUAAAUAUAUCUGUCUUAGUUAUCUAGCGCUGCUAUAACAGAGAUACCACAAAUGGAUGACUUUAACAAAGAAACUUAUUCUCUCACAGUCUAGGAAGCUAGAAGUCUGAAUUCAGGGUGCCAGCUCCAGGGGAAGGCUUUCUCUCUCUGUUGGCUCUGGAGGAAGGUCCUUGUCAUCAAUCUUCCCCUGCUCUAGGAGCUUCUCAGCACAGGGACCCGGAGUUCAAAGGCACCCUCUCCUGGCUCUACCUUCUCAGUGGUAUGAGGUCUCCAUGUCUCUCUGCUCACUUCUCUCUUUUAUAUCUCAAAAGAGAUUGACUUAAGACACAUCCCAAUCUUACAGAUUGAGUCCUGUCUCAUUAACAGAGCUAUCUCUAAUCCUGCUUUAUUAGCAUCAUAGAGGUAGGAUUUAUAACACAUAGGAAAAUCACAACAAAUGACAAAAUGGUGGACAAUCACACAAUACUAGAAAUCAUGAUCUAGGCAAGUUGACACACAUAUUUUGGGGACACAAUUCAAUCCAUAACAAUAUCUACCAUACAACUUUUGCCAGUUCAACUUUUUAUAGGUGUACAACUUACUGACAGCAAUUACAUAGUAAUAGGUUGUGCAAUCCAACCCUUAAUGUGAUUUUUCCAUCACCAUAAAUGAAACAGAGUACUCCACAUAAUGAAAUUAUUUACAGCUUAAUCUGAUAAAUAAAACAAAAUGUGAGUAUAUGAAUUACUUAUGCUAAGAUAGAAACCAGAAAAAUAUCAUUACAUAUUGAUACUCUACCCAUAAUCUUACAUAUUUGGUUUGGAACUACAUUGAAAACUAUCUGAACACCAGACGCUGGUUCCUGGGCCCGACUCCUCCUCUGUUAUUCACUGCUCAGUACCUAGCUUCUGGUGCACAGAAAGUGGAGUUCUCAGAGAGACCCAGUUUUCAGAUAAGGCAAGGGAAUAGAUUUGUGAAGGACUGGAAGGUAGAGGAGAAUUUGUUUAAAAUGGAAUGGAAACAAGGUUUCAAAGGAAGUAGUUCCAACCACAUCAUAAUAGGGAGUAUUUGAAUUUGAGGAUACAUGAAUAGAAGAUUCUGCAUUUUGGAAGGGGGCCAGAUAUGAAAGGGAAAUGAGGCACGGUUUAAUACUGUAAUUGGUCUUAAAGUGUAAAAUAUUUUCUCUGCCAGCAUUGACUUUAUAUAUCUAGGGGAGGUCUAAUGGCAGGGGCUUCUGAAUGGCAAGGGGAUUAUUAGGUGUUUGGAGUUCCUUUAUAAAUUUCUGGCAUCAUGACCACCUGUGAGGUAGUCAGCAUGUCAUUUAAUACAGUCUCAUAGCUCUUUUGUCAGCCAAGUCUUAGCUUUAUACUUAUUUCAAACUUCAAAUUAGUAAUUCAAUGUUGGCUGCUAAUUUUUGACACACAAGUUGAUUUAUAUUACUGUGCUUAAUAUAUAACCCAUGCCAGUCAAGUAUUAUUUCAUUAGCAGCAUUUGUUUCAAAGGAAAUUUUCCUUUAUUGUGUAAUUAGUAGGGACAGUAUGGAAAAGUUACUGAAUUUUUGUAAAAUGAAGUAUUUUUUCCUUAUGCACAGUAAUAUUAAAAUCUUCUGAGUAGGAGAUUCAAGAGGCAAGAAAGCAGUGAUCCCAUUGUGAUAACUGAACUUGAUAAACAUAUCAAGAUAGUAGAAAAUGAACACAUUCCCAAGAUAUUAGGCCUGGAAGUAUUUCACAAAUCCCACCAGCAUGUAGAUCAGAUAUAAUUUAUGUUGGUUUGAUUUGAUUCUGUUGAACUAUUGACCUGUCUCCCACAGAACACCACCACGCUGCUCCUCCUUCCUUUGUUGCUUUCUUUUCAUCUCAUUCUCUGUCCUCGUGAAAUGGCUGACAAGCACAUAUUUAGAUGAUACAGACCUCUCGCCUAACUAACUGGUUACUACAACUUCCCAGGCAAGAUUUAAGGACCUAAAGUUACAAGGAAUCUAAUGGAAACCAACUAGAAAGUACAAGAUCCUACAGAAAAAAAAUUUUUUUUUCAUAUUAAAUCUGUUCACAGAGAAUUAUUCAGUUUGUAAUGACUUCUGCAGACUUCAGCGUAUCUUGCCUUUGUACUUUCUAUUCCUUCUGACGUCCCCAACUUUCUCUCUUGGUUUUAACUCCUGCAUGAGCUCUGACAGUUAGGUCAGAAAAUCUUGUUACAUGCUCACUUAAUAACCAGUCUUUUUUUUUUCUUUCUUUCAGAGCACUUAUAUUAGUUUUAAAAUACCUACUUUAGCAGUAUUUUCUAAAUUUACUGAACUUACUUGCUUAGCUCACUUAAAAUUAUUCUAGUGGUUCCUGAGUGACAUGAGAAAAAUGCAUAAAAGUCAGAAAAAAUCAAAGGUAAGAUAAAAUGAGAAAGACCUUAAAAAUUAAAUUGUUUCUUUGACACAGGCAAAUUUUCUGCCCUAAUUUUUAAUUCCCUCAAAUUUGUCUCUGAGUCUUCACUUAACUGGUGGAGGUGGUGCUUAUAAAGAUUUUUUCCCUCUAGGGCUUCAGAUUUCUAAAAUACAUUUCUUCUCUCCUCUCCAUUUCUUUAUGUAGCAUUCCUUGACUCAUACCACGGGCAAAAUUAUUACCAAUAAAAAUAUAAGACCCCUCGCAGAUGCGUAUGGAACAAAAUCAUAAAGGUAUAUAUAAUACUUUGGCGAUGGAAGGGAAUUUGGAAAUAAUCUAGUUCAACCCCCAUCUUUGAGGAAAAUUGAGGCUAAUUGAAGUAGGUGGUCAUAUAUUGAAUUAGCAGAAGAAUGAAUAUGGGAACCCAGAUCUUCUAUCUUCCAGUCAGGUUCUACUGUCUCUUUGCUCCAUUUUGUCUUUCUUCCCUAGGAUUAUAAACAGAGCAGGAGACUGUAUUGAAAAUACUGAGAUUCAAUGGUUGUUCCUUCAAGUAUUUAAAUUUUUUCUAAUUUUCUCAUAUAUGUGAGAAACAUAUUUAUAUUUGUAACUUAGAAAUUGGACACUGUGAAAUACACCAACCUAAGAAUUAUUCUUUAAGUUUUCACCAAAUAAGUUGUUAGUUUCUUCAAUAAUGAAAACCUAGUAAGCAUUUCAGAAUUUGGUUAUGAUUAGCUGCUGACAUAAACAUGAAAGUCAACCUCACUGUAUUUUAGACAGCCUUGGUUUUUGCAUUUGUCUCAGAGGGCAGCCCACAAGAGUACUUCCUAGAUGAUUUCUGUUAUUUUUGAAGUUCACUAAUUCUACUUGCUUUUCUUUUGGUUGAGUGGCAAUGUCUUAAAUACUGUAAAAAUUAUAUUUUAUCAUAAAAAUAAUCAGUGUCUGUAAACCAUAAAAGGAAAAUGAGUGUAGCUUUUUAAAAAAAUAAUUGAGGGGCAGCUAGAAAGCGGGUGGUGGUGAAAAAAUCUCUGUUGAAUAUUACAUAUUAACUUACAUUGUUUUCUGGUAUUUUGCCACAAAGGAAAGGCAGUAUAGAAUCUCAACGUAAGUACAAGUGAAAUUAGUUGUAUUUGUUUGCUGAAAGUUAGUUACCUAGCUUCAUAAGAUGAAUUAUUUGUUUCUGGACACCAUAGGACAGCAUGUUGUGUUUGCUUUAGUAUGCAAAUAAAUCAUUUCUAUGUACACACUUUCCCAAAGCUGUUUGGAGUUUUGUAAAUCUUGAGUUUUCCUUUUGAAUGUUUUAUUCCUUAUUAUUAUUAUUAUUUUUGAAACUGCUAAUUUUAGCCAUUACAGCACAGGACAUUUUAAAUGGAUUUUGCUUUUAAAGUAAAUCAUAGUUUUUUUUUUUUUUAAUCUGUCCAGUCAGCUGAAAAAAGGAAAGGUAAAAAUGAGGCCGAGUGAACAGAAUAUUGAAUUCCUGAAUUUACUUUCAGAUCUUGGAAUGAAGGUCAGGUGGUAGAAUUUUUACAAACCUUGGUAAUGUUUCAAACUUAGGUAUAAAAAUUAACAUGCAUAUUCAAUUUUCUGCAAUUUCACAAUGGAACCAAAAGCAGGGCUCAUGUAUAUAGUAGGCAUAUAUAUUUUGCAUGUGUCCUUUAAAAUGAAAUCCUUAAAUUUACACCUCUUUGUGCUGUUGAUAAAACAUACCAGCCAAACCUAUCUUCCAGGUGGCUUUGAAAACUGUAUUAACUUUUACAUGGCAUUAAUAAAUCACUGUUUCAGGACCACCAGGUGGUAACUGAUUUCCAAUAAUGUUUUGGUUUUGCUUUAUUAAAAAAAUCAUAAAAAUUAUAAUAUGGUACUUUGGGAUCCACAACCAUACCUUAUUCCCCUUAAUUCCCUGUUGUCAUUAGGAAAGAUACCACAAUUUCUUUAAAUUAGGAAUGAAAUCACAUGUUUCAUAUGUCUCAAGUGAUUAUCAUUCUUCAUUACCCAGUCUCACGCACAUAGCAUAAUUGAACAACUGGAACUAAAGAAGUAGAGCACAAAAUCAUCAGGGAUUUUAUAAAUUAAAUGGACUUGAAAUCGUCAGCUGACUAAUUUUAUGCAGAAUGUUUCUUAGUAAUUGUAAAACAAUAUAAACCUAAAAAUUGCUGUUCUUGUAGCCGAUAAUUCAAUGCUUAAGUGGUAACAGAAAUUGUAUUUUCUGCCCUUGUGUCUUAAUUUAGAAAUGGGGGUUUCAUUAUCUUUGUUCCAAAUGCAUUUUUUUUAGGUGUUUCUUUUGGGGGCUGUUUUUCAUAUUGUUGACAGUUUAAAAUAAAUUUGAAACAAUACGCUUAUAUUUAUGAUACUGUACUAGAUGUUAUAGAAAGAAAAGAAAACCCUCAGGAAUUUAUAAGGGAGAACCAUUUUUGUUUCUGCUCUUUAAAAAUAAAUUAGUUGAAAAAAAAUUUUUUUUCAACUUCAUAUAUAUCAUUAAUAAUUUUGGACAACAGGUUAAUGCUGGCGGGGGGAGGGGGAUAACAUAUCUCUGGAGCCAGACACACUGACUUUGUGCAACCGUGGACUCUUGUGACUUCUUGGCCUCAUUAUCCUCAUCUGGGAAACAAUACCUAUCUCUCACAUUUGUUUUAAGUGUUAAGUAAACACAUAUAAAGUAUCCGUGGCACAAGUUGUUUGUCAAUGUUUAUUUGUUUUCCCAAUUAGAUAUGCUCAGAUUCCUAACUAAGCUUCCCCAGUAAUAUAUUACUUUUGGGGAUAAAGAAUUGAUGGAGAAGUAAAGAUGUGUAUAUUUAGCUCAGAUACACAAAUAAGUCUUAUAAGUCUCUACUCUAAAAUAAUUUCUUUGGUCUGUUUCCUCUCUUUCCAAUUUAUAUAUGGUAAACUGGAUACUUAAAAAAGCACAAUGUAUGUACCUAUCUCAUAAUAUAUAAUAACUCUCUAUGGCUUAUAGAAGCAGUUCUUAUAAACUGUUGUUGGCAUCACUUAACAAUUAUUACAGAGAAUGAGAGAAGUGAACCCCUUUGAGUCUUCAACAUUUCUCAGUAGUGGUAAAUCCAUGAACAUUUUAAACCAAAAUUUGAAUCUGCAUCUUGGAGUUCAAUUUCUGUUGUUUAGUCUUCAUUAAAGCCGUGAAAUCUCUGUUGUUCCAAUACAUAAUGAGUCCAACAAUACAGGAUAUUAAACCUCAAAGCAGUGCACCUUUAGUUGUUCAGCAGAUAUAAAGAAAAAAUUCCAGAAGCCAUCACGAUAUAUUUCAGCGGUUUUAUACUCAAUUUCUUUCAGCAACCCUUUGGGAAAUAUCUCCAGAUAUUUUACUGGAUAAGUGCGCUGAUUUUCUGAAAGACAUUUGGAAUAUUUAAUAGUUUGGCCCUUGAGACACCUGGGUAGAGGAAACGGUCAGAGAAUUUAACAGAAGAAAUAGGUUAAAAGUGAAAGUAAUGGAGGCGUUCGACCCUAAGUUUGCCACUGUGCCUUGCCUUUGCUUCUUUUAAGAGCUGUAGUUCUUUUUCACCGCGUUACUAAGGGCUACUUUGUUAUUUCAGGUCUCCCCAUUAAAUAAAACUGUCACUGAAGAAAAACUCAGAAGUACAAAAUAUUAGGAAAUCUUUCCAAGCGGCAAUUUACAGGGGGAUUUCCGUAUGUAGAUGAAGCAAACCGCUACAGUUACUCUCCUUAGCACCUCCCACUUGGUUCUGCGCACUGUGACUCCGGCGCCUCUGGAAUGCCCUGGGAAGCGCUCCAGGACGGAAUACGAGCAAGAGCCAGCACCUUUUGGAGCGUGGCUCUGCAUCAAGGUGACCCAGGGAUUUUAGAGUUUGCCGGCAAAUCCGCCAUCGCUUCCACGUCUUCUAUUUCCCCUCCACUAUUUCGUGGGGCUGGGUGCCAGUUUCCCGAGCUUCCAGAAGGCAUCAAGCUUCCAGAAGGCAUCGUUUCACCCUUGACUUACCGCACACCGCACAGCGAGUAAAGGGUUGGUUGCUCACUGCUGCCCACACGACUCUCAUAGUUGUCUGGGCCUCAGUCUUCAGAUUUUCCUUCAUAGCCCCAGGGCCUUUGGCGCGCAGCGGGGUUCAGACUGCGGUUCUUCGCUGUCUGUGGGACAAAACACCGACCACCCCACACCCAAAAGCCAGUCAUCCGCCUCCCACUCCUCCCCAGCGUCAUCUGUGUGCAGGUUCGCAGGCGCCAGGAUGGUUUGCAGACUUCUUCGCACGCCACUUUCCGCCAGGCAACUCCAAAAAGUGAACGACACCGGCGCACUCCACAUCCCACCCCUAAAUCUCUCUGGAAAUCAACCCAUGGGCCCCACCUUCCUGCAUGUGGCUUCACGGUGAGAGCCUAAGGCCGGAUCCAGCAAAAAGCACAAAUGAAUUUUAUUCCGGGCUUGCUCCUCCUUCCUCAGCGGAGUCGGCGGCUCAGGAAGGCGUGCAGGAUCUCCGCCGCUCCACGUUUGCAAUGGUCAUUGAACUAGGUGGGGUGGGAAACGGGGGAGAAAAGUCGUGGGCGGCUGGAUGCGCCCGCCAUCAGUCCCCCGCGGCCGCACGCAGGUACAGGGCGACGUCGCGGUGACCCCGCUCCUCAGCCAGGUCCACGGGCAGGCGGCCCCAGGCGUCGCGCACGUCCAGCCGCGCCCCGGCGCGUUGCAGCACCAUCAGCGUGUCCAGGAAGCCCUCCCGCGCGGCGUCGUGCACCGGUCGGGUGAGGGUGGCGGGGUCUGCGCAGUUGGGCUCAGCGCCGUGGAGCAGCAGCAGCUCCGCCACACGGGCGCUGCCCAUCAUCAUGACCUGCGGGGAGAGCAGAGCGGUCAGGGCGACAGGAGGGUCACCGAUUUGCAGGCUUGGGAGCGAGAUCCCCGGCGGCGUGGAUGAGGCUAGUUUAAAGAAAUACAUAUUUAUGAAGUAGUCACCCAAUAUAGAGGAGGUUUUUUUUUUUUUUUACGAGCUUCAGGUGUCUGGAUACUCUUAAAUUGCAAUUACCCCCUCUCCCGCCAGUCAUACUCAUUUCUUCGCUCAAAUUGAAUUCCGUGUUAUCCAACCGUGCGGAGACAAGAGCGAGCUGAUGACAAAGUGUUUAUCGUUGUUGUGUGUGUGUGUGUGUGGGGGGGGAAACAACUUGAUUUCCACUGGAACAAGGAAAUCUAUUUUGUUAUACAAUUUAGGGAUGGAGUUGUUUAACUGGCUUUUAAAGUCUAGUUAUUUCCCUUGCUCUCCUCCUUUCCCAUAAUGCAGGGCUAAAAAUAUUUGUUAGGCAGUCAACUGAUAUUUUUCAGAAGCUGGGGUAAUACUAGAAGUAAACUAAGUUUACAGAGGUUUACAUUGUUUGGUUCUUGUUGCAAAUCUGUGGAAGGCUUCUGCCUUAUUUCAUGUAUGUCUGUGCUCAUAAACGGAUUAUAUAGUCCCAUAAUUGGGGCCAAAGCUGGAGUUCGAGAGGAAACACUAAGUCAUUUAUAGUUUUACAAGACCAUGAAAAUAAAUGAUUUUUAAUAGAGUUCAACAUUUUUAAUAUUUAGUGUGUACCAUAUUUAAUAUAAUAUGUAAAGCAAACACUAUACUGUACAAUUUGGCUAGGAUUUUAUAAUGUUAAAUAGUAAAUAUUUUCUUGUAUAAAAAGCUUGAAUAUUAGCAGUCAAAUCAGAACAAAGCGUAACUUAGAAAAAAUGCUUGGAGGAGUAAUUCUGUAGCAUCCAUUUGUUCACACACAUUCAAGAACUUUUAAGUGAACUAUAAAAAUGAUUUUUGAUAAACGUCCAAAAUGAAGUUUUCUUUUUCCUUGUGGGUUUAUAGGCUUUAAAAUGUACCAUGUGAUUGAAAGACCAAACCAAGGUUUCCAAGGAGAGCCUGGCGAAUUCAAACUACCAACCUUCUGGUUAGCAGCGGUAGCUCUUAACCGCUACCCGCCAGGGUUUCUGAGUGAAAGGCAGUAUACCUCUAAUUUUGUGUUUUAUGAAUAUCAGGUGAUGUAAAGGGGGUUUUUAUAUAUAAAGAGGAAAAAUGAUUUUUAAUCUCAGAAGAUGGUGAAUUAAAACUAGAGAAAAACAAAACAUGAAGUCUUUAAAGAGCACUUUGCAAUAUUUUUGUUCCCUGUAUCCCUCACUUGUUAUACCAAUUUUCUAAGAAUUGCUAUGUAUGCAAAAGGAAUGAACACCUGUUUUCUUAAAUGUGUACAUUAUUGACCAGGUUUCUUAAUAGCUUGUUCUGGAAGGUAAUGGUGAGGUGAGUACUGAAUAUUGAGCCACAGCAGUCAACAGUAAAGCGCAAAGGGAUUAAUUUAGAUUUUAAUGGAAUUUAAAAUAAUUAAAGCUAAAAGAGCCCUGACCGCGCAGUCAUUAAGCGCUCCGUGGCUACCUGAAAGAGCAGUUCGAACACACAGCCGCUCCUCUGGACGAAGAUGCGGCAGCCUGCUCCAGUAAAGAUCACGGCCUUGGAACCCCUAUGGGGCAAUUCUCCUGCGUCCCAUAGGGUCGCUAUGAGUCAGAACCGACUCCACGGCAAUGGAUGGGCUAAUUAAAGCGAAAUUAAUGGUUUAACGUAUUGAAUAAAUGUAUUUUAAUAAUUAAGAGGCUAAUUAUUUAUGAAGACCCUUUGCCAUUGAAAAAGGACCCAACAGUUGCUGCAGAAAUGCUUUUAUAAUCCAAGAAUUCUGUAUGAUAACAAAAAAUCUAUGGGAACAUUUUUUUCCCCUCUUAUGUGACACUCAAAAGACGUUGCUAACAUAAGAAAUUAAAUACUGUGGUUGAGGAAUCUUAUCUCAUUCCUUUGCGUUCAACUUGCCUCUAUGAGGAAAGAGAAAAAUGAAAGAUUUCAUAUAGAGGCUUAAAAAUUUACAGUGCAUUUUCCCCCCCAGUGCUAUCACUUUGGAGAAGAAUUCCUUAAAUCCAACCCAGAUUGUGGAAUUUGUAAUUUAUUUAUCUUUAUCGUUGAGAGUAGACAACAGAUAAAACAGUCCUCCUCCCCAAAUAUCCCACUUCUCCCCCUCUCCUUCCCAGUUGAAUGUAUUCCAUCUCUGAUCACGAGAGGGCUCAGGAAAUAUUGUGGAUGUUUUUUCCAUCAUUGAAAAGAAAACCAAACUGAAGCACUAAGUUUUUCAAUUUCUUUCUUUAGGAUUUUUGCUGUGUAAAAACCUGCUUUCCGGCGGGGCCCCACACCUCCAGGAAAAGGCUCCUGCACACGUCUACGUCGGUUACGGUCUCGGUCUCGGUCUCAGCCCCCGACCCACGGAGGCCGCGCUCGCGCGCCCCCUGCCGGCCAGGACCCGGGGCCCCAGAAACUUUUAAAGAAGGGAACCUUCUAACGUUACGGAGAGUGUAAUAGGUCCUUGCAUGCAAAGGGGUGCUCCAUCAGUAACCAAACUUAAUAUACUGCUAAAAUGACUUUGUGUUCAGGCUACACAUAUGGAAUAACACAGUACGACUGUGAGAACGGUGCAGGACCAGGCCCUGUUUCAUUCUGUUAUACCGAUGAAUCAGAACUGACUCGAUGGCACCUCCACAACUAACAACAACAUGGGAACCAAUUGAAUAUCAGGAGGGGGGAGUGAGGGGCUGACUUAGAUGAAAACAUUUUCUCAAAGUUGAAGUGAUUCCUGGAAGCUGAGUUUCUUGAAGAAUAAGCUUUGGACCCAGAUGACCUCUUUUUCUUCUUACUCUUACCUUUUUUGCUUCUCAUGAAGCCAGGCUUUCAUUUAUUAUUGAUGACAUAUAUCAAAUAUGUGAUCAAAAGGAAGAAACGAUGAAGUAAAAGAACUGAACAGAAGAUUUCAAAGGGCAGCUUGAGAAGACAAAGUAAAGUAUUAUCGUGACAUAUGCAAAGAGCUGGAGAUAGAAAACAAAAAGGGAAUAACAUGCUCAGCAUUUCUCAAGCCAAAAGAAUUGAAGAAAAAAUUCAAGCCUCUAGUUGCAGUGGUGAAGGAUUCUAUGGGGAAGUUAUUAAAUAACACAGGAAACAUCAAAAGAAGAUGGAAGGAAUACACAGAGCCAUUAUACCAAAAAGAAUUAGUUGACAUUCAACCAUUUCAAGAGGAGGAACCGAUGGUACUGAAGGAAGAAGACCAAGCUGCACUGAAGGCAAGUUUCCAGGAAUUGACGGAAUAUCAUUUGAGAUGCUUCAACAAAUGGAUGCAGCACUGAAAGUGCUCACUUGUCUAUGCCAAGAAAUUUGGAAGACAGCUACCUGGCCAAUGGACUGGAAGAGAUCCAUAUUUACACCUAUUCCCAAGAAAGGUGAUCCAACUGAAUGUAGAAAUUAUUAAACAACAUCAUUAAUAUCACACAGAAGCAAAAUUUUGCUGAAGAUGAUUCAAAAGCACCUGCAGCAGUAUAUCGACAGGGAACUGCCGGAAAUUCAGGCCAGAUUCAGAAGAGGACGUGUAACCAGGGAUAUCAUUGCUGAUCUCAAAUGGAUCCUGGCUGAAAGCAGAGAAUACCCGAAGGAUGUUUACCUGUGUUUUAUUGACUAUGCAAAGGUGUUCGACCAUGUGAUUCAUAACAAAUUAUGGUUAACAUUGCAAAGAAUGGGAAUUCCAGAACACUUAAUUGUGCUCCUGAGGAAACUUUAUAUAGAUCAAGAGGCAGUUGUUUGGACAGAACAAGGGGAUACUGAGUGGUUUAAAGUCAGGAAAGGUAUACAUCAGGGUUGUAUCCUUUUGCCAUACCUAUUCAAUUUGUAUGAGCAGAUAAUCCAAGAAGCUGGACUAUAUGAAGAAGAAUGGGUCAUCAGGGUUGGAGUAAGACUCUCUAACAACCUGUGUUAUACAGAUGACACUUGCUGAAAGUGAAGAGAACUUGAAGCACUUACUGAUAGAUUAAAGAUCACAGCUUUCAGUAUGGAUUACAGAUCAACAUAAAGAAAACAAAAAUCCUCACAACUGGACCAAUAAGUGACACCAUGAUAAACAGAGAAAAGAUUGAAGUUGUCAAGGAUUUCAUUUUACUUGGAUCCACAACCAACAGCCAUGGAAGCAGCAGUCAAGAAAUCAAACGACACAUCGCAUUGGGCAAAUCUACUGCAAAGGACCUACUUAAAGUGUUGAAGAGCAAAGAUGUCACCUUGAAGACUAAGGUGCUCCUGACUGAAGCUAUGAUAUUUUCAAUCACAUCAUAUGCAAGUGAAAGCUGGACAAUGGAUAAGGAAGAUUGAAGAAGAAUUGAUGCCUUUUAAUUGUAGUAUUGGUGAAGAUUAUUGAAUAUACCAUGGACUUCCAAAAGAAUGAACGAAUCUGUCUUGGAAGAAGUACAACCAGAAUGCUCCUUAGAGGCAAGGAUGGCGAGAUUGUGUCUUACACACUUUGGAAUGUUGUCAGGAGGGAUCAGUCCCUGGAGAAGGACAUCAAGCUUGGUAAAGUACAGGGUCAGCGGAAAAGAGGAAGACCCUGAAGGAGAUGGAUUGACACAGUGGUUGCAACAAUGGGCUCAAGCAUAACAACGAUUGUAAGGAUGAUACAGGACCUGGCAGUGUUUUUUUCUGUGGUACAUAGGGUCGCUGUGAGUCGGAACCGACUCGACGGCACCUGACAACAACAUAUUUUUAGCAACAAUACUAAAAUAAUUAGCAUUGUUAUUGUUAGUAGCUAAUUUAGUAAUCUACUAAGUAUCAGAUAGUAUGUGCUAGGUACUGUGAUGAGCAAAUCAGAGAGUAUUAAUUACAAAACAUUGUAAGUUCCAUGAAAUAAGAGUUCUAGGUGCUAUGGGAAUGCACAGUGGGGAACUGAUCUAGUCUAGUGAUAAAGGAAAUCAAGGGAUAUUUGAGUUGAGGUCUGUAGGAUUAGGUAGGUAUUAACUAAUCAAAGGAGAGGGGUAGUAGUUGCAAGGAGGAACAUUCCAGGCAGAGGGAAUUGGAUGUGGCAGGCCCUGAGGUAGCAGGGAGCAUGGGCACAUCGAAGAAACUGUGACUGGAGCAUGGAGAUGAAAAAGGAGAGUGUGGCUAGUGGGGGUGGAGAAAUAAGCAGGGGAAAACUCUUAUAGGGCUUUUUUAGGCCAUGUUAAGAAUUUCUGUCUUAGGAAAAGGGCAAGCUAUUAAGCAGAGAAGUGAUGUGGUAAGACUUUUGAUAAACAACAACAGAAAAAUCACCUUGAAUACAUUUUGGAGGAUGGCUUGGAUGAGAGGCAAGAGUGGAUACUGGUUGACCAUUAGGCCAAGAAUAGGUUAUAGUAGCUUGGGCUAAAGUGUUUGCAUUCAAGAUGGAGAGAUCUAGACUGCCUUAAGACAUAUUUAACGAGUACCAUCAACAGAGCUUAGCAACGAACUGGAGAUUGUGGAUGGGGGAGAAGGAAUUGUUCAGCAGAUUUGUACAACUGGAGAGGUGGGUGAUCCUGAUCACCAAGAUAGGGAACACUGGAUAAGGAUGCAGUUUGAGGUGAAGAUCAUGAGUUCAGAUUCAGAGAGACGUGGUAAAAUAUCCAGGUGAAGAUGUCCAAUAGCAGUUAAAAAGGGGAGUCUCAAGCUCAGAAAGGAGUGUCUAAUCCUAAUUUACAAUAAAUGUAAAAAUAUAGUUUUUUUAGCAUGAAUUUUUAUAUAGAAGAUUAUUUUUCCAGAGAAAGACUGGUAUAAUCAAUACCGUUUAAUCUUAGGAAUUAAUUCUGAAGUUUUCCUAGCAAUAAAAUAUUUGAUAGUAUAUGUUGAUACCAACUUUUCUUUCUCUCGAAAUUUGUUUCAUUGUUCUGAAAACACUGUUCAUAUUUCUUCAUACUGUUAAUGCCUUUUGUUUUGAAAAUUGUAGGAUCAACAACAUUUUCUAUCUAAGGACCAACCAAAAAAUCUGUUGCCAUUGAGUUGGCUCUGAUUCAUGUCAAUGCCAUGUGUAAACAGUGUAGAACUGCUCCAUAGGGUUUUCUUGGCUGUAGUCUUCAUGAAAAUAAAUCUCCAGGCCUUUCUUCCAUGGUGCCACUGGGUGGGUUCCAACAGCCAACCUUUAAGUUAGUAGUUUAAUGCAAACUGCGCCACCCAGGGACCUUUAUAUAAUGACCAGUUGGAAAGAAAUUAAGUACCAAUAUUGCAGCAUUAUUAUUAAGUGAAGUCUGUAAUUUACAUUUGGGUUCACUCUUUGUAUUGCACAGUUCCAUGGGUUUUGACAAAUGUGUAAUAUCAUCUGUCCACCAUUACAGUGUCAUGCAGAAUAGUUUCGAUGCCCUUAAGAUGCCCCGUGCUUCAACUAUUCAUCCCCUUCCCCCUUCCCAGACCCCUGACAACCACUGAUCUUUCUGCUGUCUCUAGUUUUGCCUUCUCCAGAAUGUCACAUAGUUGGAAUCAUAUAGUAUGUUGCUUUUUCAGAUUGACUUUUUCACCUAGCAAUGUGUAUCCUCCAUUUCUCCUUGUGCUUUGAUAGCUCAUUUCUUUUUUAUUGGUGAAUAAUACUCCUUUGUACAGACGCACAACAGUCUAUUUCAAACUUACACUGUGAAGAAGCUAUUGAAAAAAAUUUUGGAGAAUUGAAUAACAACACCCAGAAACAAUGGUAGGAGAAGGCAUUUGGCACACAUAUUCCUGAAAAUUUCUCCCUAUUCUAAAUGAAUAAAGUGAACAAAAUAAUAUUAUCAGACAGUCAUUUAAAAAUAAUGUCCUUUUUGAAUGAGUAAUGCUUUUCUCAUGGUUGCCCUUUUCUACAUACAGGUCUGUGUUGAUUUAUUCAGUUCAUCAGAUAGCCAUUCCACAAAUAUUAUUGUGUAGUCUAUUAUGUGCCAGACACUCUUCUAGGAACUUAAGAUAGUUCAAUGGUAAAAUAGUAAAAUAUUCCCACCCUUAUGGUGCUUACAUUCUAGCAGGAACAGCAAUUUCUUCUGUAAGUUAACCACAUUACAGAAACAACACUUAAGAGACUAUUUCUUAUUGAACGUGCUAUGUGUUUUACAACAUGUCAUCAAGCAUACAAAGUCUCGAUUAUAAGAAAGCAAUAUCCGUAUUGUAUAAAGAUAUUUCAAAUAGUUUUUGUCAUAUGAGUGAGCCAAUGAUAAAAUAAUUUCAUCAACAAUCAUAAACUGAUUGCAGUGUGAUUGUCUGUCUCAGAGAAACCUUGGCAGAGUUAAAGUUUCAAAAAGCGAAACUUGGUACCAAAAUUAAGGCAAAGUUCUUUUUUUUUUUUUUUGAGUAUUUUCUCUUUUUUAUAAUUUGUUUUUGUCUUUGAAAAUGUAUAUAGCAGAAUGUAUACAAAUUCAACAAUUUCUACAUGUACAGUUCAGCAACAGGCAAUGUCAUGUUUUUACUUUUGCUAUUCCCAUAUUAAAUGAGUACUCAAAAUUUAGUGGCGAAAUAAGAUAUCGUUAUAAACUAAGGCAUAGAUGAAAUGAAAGUUCUUAAGUUUUAAGUUUGGUCAGAAGACAAAAUCCAGUAGCUUUACAAGUCAGUCAGUUUUAGGAUUUUGAUGUUGACGCACUGGUCUCAAAUUGUGGUAGAUGUGGUUUUCGAACUAGGCAGAGCUGAAAUAAAAGUUUUAAAAAAUAUUAAAAUCAAGAGUUUAAAAAAAAGUGAUCAAAAUGAAGGCAAUUUUAGGAUUUUUAAUUUGGCAGCUCAGUCUCAAUUUAGUACUUGAAAUUUAACACUGAACAAUGGCACUAAUUUUGAUGUAAAGUUUGUGAAAUAUUUUCUUUAAUUAAUGGACCUUAUUUUUGUAGAGAAGUUUUAAAUUUACAGAAAAAUUGAGCAGAAAGUACAGAGUUUCCAUAUGCUCCUGUACCUCACACACCUUCUUUUAUUAACUUCUUUCAUUGGUGUGGUUCAUUUGCUAUAACUGAUGAACCAAUAUUGAUACAUUAUUAUUAUUAAAUAAAGCCUGUAGUUUACAUUUGGUUCACUUUUUGUGUUGCACAGCUCUGUGGGUUUUGACAAAUGCAUAAUAUCAUGUAUCCACCAGUACAGUGUCAUGAAGAAUAGUUUUUGGGCCCGUAAAAUGCCCUGUGCUUCGCCUAUUCAUCCCCUUCCCCCUUCCCAGACCCCUGACAACCACUGAUCUUUUUGCUUUCUCUAGUUUUGCCUUUUCCAGAAUGUCAUACAGCUGGAAUCAUAUAGUAUGUAGCUUUUUCUGAUUGGCUCUUUUCACUUAGUAGUAUGUAUCCUCCAUUUCUCUUCACGGCUUGAUAGCUCAUUUCUUUUUUCUUGGUGAAUAAUAUACUCCAUUGUGUGGAUGCACAAGAGUUUAUUUAUCCAUUCACCUGUUGAAUGAGAUCUUGGUUGCUUCCAAAUUUUGGUAGUUAUAAAUAAAACUGCUAUAAACAUUCUCGUGCAAGUUUUUGUGUGGAUAUAAGUUUUCAGCUUAUCAUUGCUGCAUCAUAUGAUAAGACUAUGUUUAGUUUUGUAAGAAGCUACCAGACUGUGUACCAAAGUGGCUGUACAUUUUGCAUUCCCACCAGCAAUGAGUGAGAGAUCCUAUUGCUCCACGUUUAUCAGCAGCAUUUAGCAUUAUCAGUGUUUAGGAUUUCAUCCGUUUUAAUAGGUGUAUAGUGGUAUCUCAUUGUGUUUUAAUUUGCAGUUCCCUCAUAGCAUGUGAUGUUGAGCAUCUUUUCAUCUGCUUAUUUGCCAUCUGUAUAUCUUCUUUGCUGAAGUGUCUGUUCAGAUCGAUUGUCCACUUUUUAAUUGGGUUUGUAAUACAUUUAUGUUCACAAGCCUGUGCCAUGAUAACUUGAAUCCUUUAAGAUUAUCCAACUUCUUUCCUUGUCAUAAUGCAAAUAAAUUAGUAUAAUAUGUAACAAAUAUAAUAACAAUAUCACCAUUUAUCUAUAAUUCUCUUUUAGUAUGCUUCCUUAUGAUGCAGGCCUACCUCAUUUUUCGCGCCUUACUUUAUUGCGCUAUGCAGAUACUGCAUUUUUUACAAAUUGAAGGUUUGUGGCAACUCUGUGUCGAGGAAAUCUGUUGGUGCCAUUUUUCCAACAGCGUGUGCUCACUUUGUGUCUUUGUGUAGUUCUCACAAUAUUUUAAACUUUUUCAUUAUUAUUAUACCUGUUUGUGGUGAACUGCGAUCAGUGAUCUUUGAUGUUACUCUUAUAAUUGUUUUGGGGCACCACAAACCGUGCCCAUGUAAGGUGGCAAACUUAAUCAAUAAAUGUUGUGUGUAUUCUGA